GCGGGUAUAGCCAAGUGGACAAAGGCGGCGGCCUGCAAAGCCGCAAACAUCGGUUCAAAUCCGAUUGCCCGCUCCA
RNAcentral lists this transfer RNA (76 nucleotides) under Blastocatellia bacterium. RNAcentral describes it as "tRNA-Cys". It matches the Rfam family "tRNA". From Rfam's summary of the family: Transfer RNA (tRNA) molecules are approximately 80 nucleotides in length. Their secondary structure includes four short double-helical elements and three loops (D, anti-codon, and T loops). The record is from RNAcentral. RNAcentral also lists the same sequence under 2 other names. Lineage: Bacteria; Pseudomonadati; Acidobacteriota; Blastocatellia.